RNAcentral lists this ribosomal RNA (474 nucleotides) under Treponema sp. canine oral taxon 233. Its description in RNAcentral is "bacterial SSU rRNA". It matches the Rfam family "Bacterial small subunit ribosomal RNA", at positions 9 to 466 of the family's 1533-position model. The record is from RNAcentral. Lineage: Bacteria; Pseudomonadati; Spirochaetota; Spirochaetia; Treponematales; Treponemataceae.
GAGUUUGAUUCUGGCUCAGAACGAACGCUGGCGGCGCGUCUUAAGCAUGCAAGUCGAACGGCAAGAAAGGAGCUUGCUCCUUUCCUAGAGUGGCGGACUGGUGAGGAACACGUGGGUAAUCUACCCUUGAGAUGGGGAUAGCCGUUAGAAAUAGCGGGUAAUACCGAAUACACUUAUUAUUUCACAAGAGAUAGUAAGGAAAGGAAGCUACGGCUUCGCUCGAGGAUGAGCCUGCGUCCCAUUAGCUAGUUGGUGAGGUAACGGCUCACCAAGGCAACGAUGGGUAUCCGGCCUGAGAGGGUGAUCGGACACAUUGGGACUGAGAUACGGCCCAAACUCCUACGGGAGGCAGCAGCUAAGAAUAUUCCGCAAUGGACGGAAGUCUGACGGAGCGACGCCGCGUGGAUGAAGAAGGCUGAAAAGUUGUAAAAUCCUUUUGUUGAUGAAGAAUAAGGAUAAGAGGGAAUGCUUAUC